AGCCCCUCUGCGCGGCCAGCCGCCCCGUCCGGGAGGGAGGUGGGGGGGUCAGCCCCCCGCCCGGCCAGCCGCCCCGUCCGGGAGGGAGGUGGGGGGGUCAGCCCCCCGCCCAGCCAGCCGCCCCGUCUGGGAGGUGAGGGGCGCCUCUGCCCGGCCGCCCCUACUGGGAAGUGAGGAGCCCCUCUGCCCGGCCAGCCGCCCCGUCCGGGAGGGAGGUGGGGGGGUCAGCCCCCCACCCGGCCAGCCGCCCCGUCCGGGAGGUGAGGGGAGCUUCUGCCCGGCCGCGCCUACUGGGAAGUGAGGAGCCCCUCUGCCCGGCCAGCCGCCCCGUCCAGGAGGGAGGUGGGGGGGUCAGCCCCCCACCCGGCCAGCCGCCCCGUCCGGGAGGUGAGGGGCGCCUCUGCCCGGCCGCGCCUACUGGGAAGUGAGGAGCCCCUCUGCCCGGCCACCACCCCGUCUGGGAGGUGUACCCAACAGCUCAUUGAGAACGGGCCAUGAUGACAAUGGCGGUUUUGUAGAAUAGAAAGGGGGGAAAGGUGGGGAAAAGAUUGAGAAAUCGGAUGGUUGCCGUGUCUGUGUAGAAAGAGGUAGACAUGGGAGACUUUUCAUUUUGUUCUGUACUAAGAAGAAUUCUUCUGCCUUGGGAUCCUGUUGAUAGGUGACCUUACCCCCAACCCUGUGCUCUCUGAAACAUGUGCUGUAUCCACUCAGGGUUGAAUGGAUUAAGGGUGGUGCAAGAUGUGCUUUGUUAAACAGAUGCUUGAAGGCAGCAUGCUCCUUAAGAGUCAUCACCACUCCCUAAUCUCAAGUACCCAGGGACACAAACACUGCGGAAGGCCGCAGGGUCCUCUGCCUAGGAAAACCAGAGACCUUUGUUCACUUGUUUAUCUG
This 891-nucleotide long non-coding RNA is filed under the name Homo sapiens (human). Its description in RNAcentral is "non-protein coding lnc-RGS8-3:1". The record is from RNAcentral. Lineage: Eukaryota; Metazoa; Chordata; Mammalia; Primates; Hominidae.